This 297-nucleotide long non-coding RNA is filed under the name Homo sapiens (human). RNAcentral describes it as "HSALNT0267655". Lineage: Eukaryota; Metazoa; Chordata; Mammalia; Primates; Hominidae. The record is from RNAcentral.
UCUGUGCUGGCAUCUGAACAAUGGCCAAGCAGCAGUUAGGGAGAAGAGGCUGUUUACUUGAGUUCAAACUAUUUAUAGCCCAGCAAUCUGCACAUAUUUGGAUGACAAAUCUCUGGGCUUCAAGUAAGUGGUGCUUUGCUCCUGGACAAUUUCAUCAAACACACUCCCUCCCCACGCCACCCCCAGUCCCCCUCACUAACACAUGUUGCCCUCAGGAUGUUUUAUUUAAGUUGCUGAAUUUUAAAAGAUUAUAAAAAGAAACCACAUUUUAAGAGCAAGUGACUUUUAAUCCAUUUA